GUUAAGGUGGCAGAGUCCGGUUACUGCAAAAGGUCUAAGCCCUUUGAACAGAGGUUCAAAUCCUCUCCUCAAUU
Molecule: transfer RNA, 74 nt
Filed under: Labrus bergylta (ballan wrasse)
Lineage: Eukaryota; Metazoa; Chordata; Actinopteri; Labriformes; Labridae
Rfam family: tRNA
About the family: Transfer RNA (tRNA) molecules are approximately 80 nucleotides in length. Their secondary structure includes four short double-helical elements and three loops (D, anti-codon, and T loops).
Source: Rfam by way of RNAcentral